Molecule: long non-coding RNA, 5521 nt
Organism: Felis catus (domestic cat)
Lineage: Eukaryota; Metazoa; Chordata; Mammalia; Carnivora; Felidae
Exons: 2
Source: RefSeq, a predicted model, not a curated record
CGUCCACCCCCAGGAGGAAGCCGCGCUCAAGCGUGGGUGCAAAGCUCAGUACGCACCGCGUCCCGCCCCCACGCCGUCCCCGACCGGGGCAAGCCCUCACGUGGGCCAGCGUCCCGCUCAGAGGUCCCGCGAACUCUCCUGCUGGCGUACACCCAGCCCCACCUCUACUGCGCAAACUCGGCCUCUCACAACGUGCCCUGGCAACGCCCAGAGGAGCCCCCGGGGUCGACGGCUCGGGACGCACACCCGGAGCCCUCCUGUCGACGGGGUGGGGACCACGCCACGCUCCGGCCGCUCCCUGCGCCCUACCCUCCCCGCAAACUCACCGCCGGGGCUCCCCAAGGGCAUACCCACGUCCUCAGCAGUGACAACGGAGGUGUCCGCGCCUCCAGUACCGCCCCGGCCCGCCCCCAGCGCUCACCGGGAAGACGAUGUUCCCGAGUUCUCUUUCGGCGCCGGCCCUGGAACCGCACUGCCGGCCGAGCACCACCCUCCUUCCGAGGAGCUGUCGCUGCGGGGCUGCAUGGACCCCGGGGGCACAGACACCCUGCGGGGGGGUGGGGGGGGCGCCCACGCCGUCCCUCCUCGGUCCGGGACCCCUCGAGCUCUGGGCUGCUGCGGGCGCGGGGCGACGCCCCCUGUCGGCCGGCUGCGCAGGUACCGCGUGAGAGCCAGUGAGCGCGGCCGUCUGUGCCCAGGGCCCUCCGCGCGUCCACCCGCGCCACAGCCCCUCUGCAGAGGGGGGCUCUGCAAAGGCGCCCCCCCCCCCAACAACGCCACACGACCGAGGAGACGCAGGCGGCUCACCCCGCCCCAUUCCCCGCGGAGACCCCGGGCGGCGGGCGCUCAAGAGCGGGUUUGGGCUGCAAACCCGCGGUAAAAGGCAGGCGGCCCCAGGAAGCCCAGGCCCGACGGGAUGUCCCCAGGAGGGCGCCGGCUCCAGGUCUACCUCCCCGCACCCACCGCGCCGGGGCGGGCGUGAGCGCGCGUCACAGGGACCCCAGCUCCUGACCCGUUCUGUUCAGAGCUGCCGAAGGCGCCACGAGGAAGACACGCGGUGGCAACCGGCACGUCACGUGCUGUCCCGGACAAGCUUCGGGGGCAGGAAACCGUCCCCGGGGACGACGAGAAAAUCACCAACAGUGCCGACUUUACCGACAAAGUGUUCGUUUGCUGGCUGUGAAGGACGCACCAGCCCCUCGCGUCAUGGAUACACCUCCCUCCUCGCAUAACAGACCUGCCCGGGGAGUGGUGGACGCGUCCUGCUCGCAGGACGGACGGAGGUGCUCGGAGAGUGAGGGCGGCGCCCGGCUCGCGUGACGGACGCGCCCAGAGACUGACGACGCGCCUGGCUCGCGUGGGGCGUCCGCCAGGAGCAGGAAGUGUGGGGUCCGCGAGAAGCCGGUAGCAUAAUCACAAGGAACUGUUCUACAGUUUAGUAUGGAGAUUCCCUUCGUUGGAAAACGAAGCCAUUCCCAUGAAAUCUUUGUCUCGGAAGCAUAAAGGACUUCACUUUCUCCAGAAAGGUAACACAGCAGGAAAUAGACGAUGCAGCAGCGUCUGCUGCUCGAGGCCCCGGAACCGCUGGGAAAGCACCCCCCACCCCCACCCCGGGCCUGGGCCGCCCUCCACACUGCAGGCAGGUCGGGAAAUGCAGGGCCGCACGGGCAGCACAGACGACGUCAGGGCGACGGUUCCGGCCUCCUGCUGCCCCGGCCGGGACACGCACAGCCCCACGGACUGACAGAAACCGUCCGCCGGGGCACCCGGGCCUGCGGUCACCGCCAGCACGGACGCCCCCCCCCCGUGGGGACACUGGAGCAGCCCCAUUAGCUCGCUGGGUCUGGGGCUCCCGCGUCCUCUUCCUGAGCAGCACCGCGGGCCCGCAGACGCUCCCUCCCUUGUGUCUGGGGCUCAGGCUCACACCCCCGGACCCCGCCGCCGUGGCCCACGCCGGGCGUGCUGGCUCCCCGACAGCCCAGCUCAAGGCGAACACGCUCACGCAGUCCCCAUGGAGGCUACCGAGUGACGCGCAGACGACGACGCGGGAGAUCCCGCGGCCUGGAACCUCCUGGAGCGGACCUCUGCGAGACGGUAGGGAGCUCCCCCGACGGGCUCCCAGGCCCGGCCCCUGUCCCGGCGGCCGCAUUCUUGUCCACAAGGGACCGGUUCUCUGCUCUUCUGGGGAAGGGCCGCCCCGCGGGUACCCCCACCGAGCAAGUCGGCUGCCAGGCACCGUGCCUCCAAGCAGCACAGCACCGCCGGCCGCGCCUGCAGGCUCCAGCUUAGUGCACGAGCUGCUACAAGUUCUCACUUCAGAUCUCCAGACUGCCUGGCUGCGCACGAUGGCGCAUGAAUGCGGCUGUGUGGCCGUAGCCAUCACUCUCAGUGUUACCUCGGCCUCUUUCGGAACCUCACGUCUUCAGGGGUUUUGUGGAAGCUCACCCCCUUCAAAGUGCCACCUGUUCCUCCACAGAGCGUCCAAGAUCGGAGCCUGCACACCCAGCCCCUCCUGUCUGAUCCAGAAACGGAGUCAGUGUGUCCAGGCGUUGGGGGCCACGGUGGGGUCCCUGCAGUCCUGCGCCCCAGACCCCAAAUCUCCAUCCACGACGUCUGCAACUCAAGGUCAUCUGUCCGACCAACAGUCUGUGCAACAGUUUGUGCCUGGGGUUUUAGCAAAGAAAUCGGAGACAGCCUCAUCUUGGCCCCGACUGUCACAGCAGAGACCACGAGACUGGCCCCUCAGACUCCAGCCUCACGGGAAGGUGGUGCCAACCUGAAGUCACCAGCUCUACCCACAGGGUCACAGGCUGCCUGGACUGCUGUGGGCAGCAUUUCAUGUUCGCUACCCACACUCCCAGGACUCGACCACAGAAUCGGCCCCACGUACUUGGGCAUGCAGCUCAGGGAAGCCUUCGUGACCUCCAGCCUCAGUUUCCCCAUCGGCAAGCUGUCCAUUCGCUGCCAGCUGAGGCUCCCAAGUAUAAAUGAGCUACAUUUUAAAGAAACGGUGAAAAGGAACUGAAAGCAAAUGUUUCUGCCAACUACAUUCCUUUCGCCUCCCCUUCCCAAGCCCACAAGGGCUGCCACAUGCCUCUGCCUGUCACGCCGCCAUCCGCCACAUCUUGCUGUCCUCCCGUUCCUCCUUCGAGACUCUCCUGGCUGGCUCACUGCCCUGACCCGGCCAUACACGCUGUCUUUCUAAAACGGAAAGCACUCUUUUUCUGUUUCUGGGAAUAUCUGAAGGGGUUCCACCUUCCCCCCCAAACCCCUCAGCACCUGCCAACUACACCGUCCCUCGCACAUGGUGGGCUGGCCAGGCAUCAGGGUCCCAGCCCUGCACCCGUGUCCCCAGCUCCCUGCCGCUGCCUUCCUGGGCAUCGAUCCCCUAAUGAAUAAAGGAGAAGGAGCCCAGGGCGCUGCAGGAUUGAAGGGGCACCACACACAUCACUGCUCAGAGCAUGUGCUGCUCUCGUGACAGCUCUUACGUGGGGCUGCUGUCAGGGCCCGUGUCUCCAGCUCCCCCAGCGCCUCGCAGCCCAUCACAGAAAGUCCCUGUGGGGACAGGGCCCGGCAGAGGGCCAGACCAUUGUCCUUAUGUCCUCAGGGGGCAAGACCUCUGGCAAAUGAAUGGUAGAUGGUGACAUGCUGCUCCAUCGUGAGAUUAAUCUUAAAAUAGCAUUUGUUCUGGCCAAUAGGAUGAGAAAACGCUGCAGGCGUUUUGUUGCUAUCUGAUUUCUAACGCGUCCAGGAAGAGAUGCACGUACCCCUACCCAACUUGCAUCACUUGGCCUCCAACACCCGCAGGGCCUCGGAUUUCAGAUGCCCGAUUCUGCAGCGCUCCCUCCAGGGCCACAGUUGCCACAGCACAUACCGCCAGGAAGAGCAGAGCAACCAGGAGGUGGGCCCGGAACAGUAGACUCCAAGCCCCCACAGCACGCACAGAGACGCUCAGAGCCACCGCCACACAGGUGGGCAGAGGAGGAGAUCCCCGCCACGUCUCAUCCCUGCUGGCCUGGGUGCCCCUUCUGCGCUCCCCUCACUGCAGUCUCUCCCAGCUGGAAGUCCGACAACCUGCCCCCCACACCCUGAACCAGCUCGCGCAAGGGAUCCCUGUGAAAAUCCACGUUUGAUGAACCGGGGAAAGGCAGCUUAGGGGAUUUCUUGGCAAGGAUGUCAAUGAGGCGUGACCAAAAAAGUAGGAGUCAUUUCCAAAGAGGGCAAAUGACCUCUGGUGUGGGCCCAGCUGGCCAGCCCCCAGACCGCCACACAGGGCUCCAUGACCUUCCCCUGCCCCACCUGCUUCAGUGAUCUCUUCUCCCCUGGCUUCCUGUCAACCGUCCCACAGACACUGACUAACCAAGAGGAAGAGAGGGAAGACUCGGGACUGCCCUCUCAAGCACCUAACAUCACCUUCACACAUGCUAACAUCUCAGACUCAGCUGUGGACAACCUUCUCCUACAAACAAGAAAACCUAUGUUCACAGACACUAAGGCACUGCUCCAAGGUCAACAGAUGUUCCUGGUCUGCUCUCUGAUCCUGCCUGCCAGGCUUCGAGACACAGCAGCACUGCAACCAGCACAAACAAGCAGUGGCUGGUACUUUAAACAGGACUGCCAGUUCAACAGUACAGAUAAAUUGGACAAAAACUCUUUCAUUGAAACACAGACUGAAGUCCAGAAGGACAAGGAGAAAACCCCAGUGAAAGAGCAAGAGUACAAAUGCCAGUGGACUGUUCCAGAUGCCCCACGAGCCAGCAGGUUUGAGGGCAGCAUUAUUACCUGUCUGCUCUGGGGCUGCUGAUCAAACCUGUGGCAUAGAUCAUUGGUAACUCAAUCAACCCAAUGUGGACAUUUUGAUCAUUCUAAUAUGGCGGCACAGAAUGACCAGGACUAGUCACACUGGGGCACAAAACACACCCUCUUUCCAUUCCUGUGUUCUUUACACCUCCUUCCUCAAAACCCAGUGUUUUUUCCGAGACAAGAGGCAUAACAUGGCCAAAUUCAUUGUGAUCCUGUAGACAUUCUCAACAUCAACGUGCUCUGAGCUAGCAAUCUAAUGUGCAUUGAAAUCUUUAUUGCUGCUCUCAACACAAACGUUCGUGCACAGCUGCUUCUGGAAUGCAGCACCUCAUGACCAAGGGCAUCCUGCCCCAAGUGUCCCUACAGUCUCCAGUGCACAGCCCUUUGGGGGGGGCUGUCACCCAACCUGCCAUCAGGGGGCAGCGAAGAGUGACAGCAGUCUAAUCAAGAAGGAAUGGUCAGGAGUGCCUGGAGCACAGGGUGCAGUAUUGCCUAUAAAGCGCUUUUAUGUGCACACAAGAGUGUGCCCUGUGCAAACUUCUUAGUCACCAACUCUUCUGCUGAAGAAGUGCUUUCAGUGGCUUAGCUAAAAUGAGGGGCUGGCAGAUUGAUCAGAGAAAAAUUGUGCCCACCAUUUUUUUUUUUUUUAGGAAAAAAUGUUACCAAACAACCUUAAUCUUAGAAUUCAACGUAAAAUAAACAACAAUUUUGUUUUCAA